AGGACGAACGCUGGCGGCGUGCCUAAUACAUAGCAAGUCGAACGGUCGUUUCUAUGGAAGCUUGCUUCCACUGAGAAGAUAGUGGCGAACGGGUGAGUAACACGUGGGUAACCUGCCCAUAAGAGGGGGGAGUAACAUCCGGAAACGGGUGCUAAUACCGCAUAGUUUUCUUGGUCGCAUGAUCGGGAAAGGAAAGACGGCCUUUGUGCUGUCGCUUAUGGAUGGACCCGCGGCGUAUUAGUUAGUUGGUGAGGUAACGGCUCACCAAGACGAUGAUACGUAGCCGACCUGAGAGGGUGAUCGGCCACAUUGGGACUGAGACACGGCCCAAACUCCUACGGGAGGCAGCAGUAGGGAAUCUUCCGCAAUGGACGAAAGUCUGACGGAGCAACGCCGCGUGAGUGAAGAAGGUUUUUUCGGAUCGUAAAACUCUGUUGUCAGAGAAGAACAAGUUGGAGAGUAACUGCUCCAGCCUUGACGGUAUCUGACCAGAAAGCCACGGCUAACUACGUGCCAGCAGCAGC
Molecule: ribosomal RNA, 524 nt
Filed under: uncultured bacterium
Lineage: Bacteria
Description: bacterial SSU rRNA
Rfam family: Bacterial small subunit ribosomal RNA
Source: RNAcentral